RNAcentral lists this unclassified non-coding RNA (247 nucleotides) under Dothideomycetes sp. RNAcentral describes it as "partial contains 5.8S ribosomal RNA, internal transcribed spacer 2, and large subunit ribosomal RNA". Lineage: Eukaryota; Fungi; Ascomycota; Dothideomycetes. The record is from RNAcentral.
CGCACAUUGCGCCCUUUGGUAUUCCGAAGGGCAUGCCUGUUCGAGCGUCAUUUCAAACCCUCAAGCACCGCUUGGUCUUGGGCGCCGGUCCGGCGAGGACCCGCCCGUAACCCGUUGGCGGGACCGUCCGGCUCUAAGCGUAGCAAGAAUCUUCCCUCGCUUCGGAGCUCUAGGCGGCCCCCACCAUGGAAGCACCUAAAUUUCAAAGUUUGACCUCGGAUCAGGUAGGGAUACCCGCUGAACUUAA